AAACCGUUCAGGGGUAAACCUGAGAAACCCAAAAGAUCGAAUGGGGAGACUCAGCGUCAGCCGCUUGUUGGCUUGCGUGCGGCUCGCGAUGCUCUCGGUUUGCCUUUCACGAGGUCUUUAUCGAGGGCACGCGGUCGCUGCGUCAUGUCCGGCGCGGUCGGCGUGCACUUCUCCCCUAGUAGGACGUCGCGACCCGUUGGGUGUCGACCGACGGCCCGCGAGGUAGCCUGGGGCGCAGCGCGUUAAUAGCGCGCUCGCGUCUCAGACCCGCGUGUGCCCGGCUCGACUGCCCGGCGGUAGAGAUCGCUUAUGAUAAUGGUAUGGGGUCGCACGCUCAUGUUAAAUCUGCGAUGCGUUUCGGCCCGUCGACAGACUGGCCUCGCUCGGCGUUUACGGACCUGGUGCCGUUGCCGAGCGCUUGGUCGGUCCAAUUCGACGGUGUCCUCGAACGGGCCCUGCUUUAAAACAUACCCGUCGGCGACGCUACUGCUUUGGGUACUUUCAGGACCCGUCUUGAAACACGGACCAAGGAGUCUAACAUGUGCGCGAGUCAUUGGGACUUGAAACAAAGCCUAAAGGCGCAAUGAAAGUGAAGGUCCGCUUUGAUGCGCGACCGAGGGAGGAUGGCUCCCGCCACGACGCGGAGCCCGCACUCCCGGGGCGUCUCGCGCUCAUCGCGAGCUGAGGCGCACCCAGAGCGUACACGUUGGGACCCGAAAGAUGGUGAACUAUGCCUGGUCAGGACGAAGUCAGGGGAAACCCUGAUGGAGGU
This 772-nucleotide ribosomal RNA is filed under the name Megaphragma digitatum. RNAcentral's name for it is "partial large subunit ribosomal RNA". It matches the Rfam family "Eukaryotic large subunit ribosomal RNA", at positions 402 to 874 of the family's 3401-position model. The record is from RNAcentral. Lineage: Eukaryota; Metazoa; Arthropoda; Insecta; Hymenoptera; Trichogrammatidae.